Octopus sinensis (East Asian common octopus) is the source of this 170-nucleotide long non-coding RNA. RefSeq lists it as uncharacterized. The transcript has 3 exons. Lineage: Eukaryota; Metazoa; Mollusca; Cephalopoda; Octopoda; Octopodidae. The record is from RefSeq and is a predicted model, not a curated record.
UAUGUAUCUAUGUAUCUAUGUAUGUAUAUGUAUGUAUGUAUAUAAGUGAUUAAAUGUGAAUUGUGUGUGAAAUGGCUUGGAAGUCAAUUUCAGGUCUGAAGAGGCAUAUGGUGGUUCACAGAGAUCAUAUCUCACAAAAUGAUCUGAUCAAUCCAGUGGAAGUUGCGACA